GGGUUGUGAGGUUAAGCGACUAAGCGUACACGGUGGAUGCCCUGGCAGUCAGAGGCGAUGAAGGACGUGCUAAUCUGCGAAAAGCGUCGGUAAGGUGAUAUGAACCGUUACAGCCGGCGAUGUCCGAAUGGGGAAACCCAGUGCAAUUCGUUGCACUAUCGUUAACUGAAUACAUAGGUUAACGAGGCGAACCGGGGGAACUGAAACAUCUAAGUACCCCGAGGAAAAGAAAUCAACCGAGAUUCCCCCAGUAGCGGCGAGCGAACGGGGAGCAGCCCAGAGUCUGAAUCAGCUUGUGUGUUAGUGGAACGGUCUGGAAAGUCCGACGGUACAGGGUGAUAGUCCCGUACACCAAAAUGCACAGGCUGUGAACUCGAAGAGUAGGGCGGGACACGUGGUAUCCUGUCUGAAUAUGGGGGGACCAUCCUCCAAGGCUAAAUACUCCUGACUGACCGAUAGUGAACCAGUACCGUGAGGGAAAGGCGAAAAGAACCCCGGCGAGGGGAGUGAAAAAGAACCUGAAACCGUGUACGUACAAGCAGUGGGAGCACCUUCGGGUGUGACUGCGUACCUUUUGUAUAAUGGGUCAGCGACUUAUAUUCUGUAGCAAGGUUAACCGUAUAGGGGAGCCGCAGGGAAACCGAGUCUUAACUGGGCGUUAAGUUGCAGGGUAUAGACCCGAAACCCGGUGAUCUAGCCAUGGGCAGGUUGAAGGUUGGGUAACACUAACUGGAGGACCGAACCGACUAAUGUUGAAAAAUUAGCGGAUGACUUGUGGCUGGGGGUGAAAGGCCAAUCAAACCGGGAGAUAGCUGGUUCUCCCCGAAAGCUAUUUAGGUAGCGCCUCGUGAACUCAUCUUCGGGGGUAGAGCACUGUUUCGGCUAGGGGGUCAUCCCGACUUACCAACCCGAUGCAAACUACGAAUACCGAAGAAUGUUAUCACGGGAGACACACGGCGGGUGCUAACGUCCGUCGUGAAGAGGGAAACAACCCAGACCGCCAGCUAAGGUCCCAAAGUCAUGGUUAAGUGGGAAACGAUGUGGGAAGGCACAGACAGCCAGGAUGUUGGCUUAGAAGCAGCCAUCAUUUAAAGAAAGCGUAAUAGCUCACUGGUCGAGUCGGCCUGCGCGGAAGAUGUAACGGGGCUAAACCAUGCACCGAAGCUGCGGCAGCGACACUAUGUGUUGUUGGGUAGGGGAGCGUUCUGUAAGCCUGCGAAGGUGACCUGUGAGGGUUGCUGGAGGUAUCAGAAGUGCGAAUGCUGACAUAAGUAACGAUAAAGCGGGUGAAAAGCCCGCUCGCCGGAAGACCAAGGGUUCCUGUCCAACGUUAAUCGGGGCAGGGUGAGUCGACCCCUAAGGCGAGGCCGAAAGGCGUAGUCGAUGGGAAACAGGUUAAUAUUCCUGUACUUGGUGUUACUGCGAAGGGGGGACGGAGAAGGCUAUGUUAGCCGGGCGACGGUUGUCCCGGUUUAAGCAUGUAGGCUGGUUAUCCAGGCAAAUCCGGAUAAUCAAGGCUGAGGUGUGAUGACGAGGCACUACGGUGCUGAAGUAACAAAUGCCCUGCUUCCAGGAAAAGCCUCUAAGCAUCAGGUAACAUCAAAUCGUACCCCAAACCGACACAGGUGGUCAGGUAGAGAAUACCAAGGCGCUUGAGAGAACUCGGGUGAAGGAACUAGGCAAAAUGGUGCCGUAACUUCGGGAGAAGGCACGCUGGUGUGUAGGUGAAGUCCCUGCGGAUGGAGCUGAGACCAGUCGAAGAUACCAGCUGGCUGCAACUGUUUAUUAAAAACACAGCACUGUGCAAACACGAAAGUGGACGUAUACGGUGUGACGCCUGCCCGGUGCCGGAAGGUUAAUUGAUGGGGUUAUCCGUAAGGAGAAGCUCUUGAUCGAAGCCCCGGUAAACGGCGGCCGUAACUAUAACGGUCCUAAGGUAGCGAAAUUCCUUGUCGGGUAAGUUCCGACCUGCACGAAUGGCGUAAUGAUGGCCAGGCUGUCUCCACCCGAGACUCAGUGAAAUUGAACUCGCUGUGAAGAUGCAGUGUACCCGCGGCAAGACGGAAAGACCCCGUGAACCUUUACUAUAGCUUGACACUGAACAUUGAGCCUUGAUGUGUAGGAUAGGUGGGAGGCUUUGAAGCGUGGACGCCAGUCUGCGUGGAGCCAACCUUGAAAUACCACCCUUUAAUGUUUGAUGUUCUAACGUUGGCCCCUUACCGGGGUUGCGGACAGUGUCUGGUGGGUAGUUUGACUGGGGCGGUCUCCUCCCAAAGCGUAACGGAGGAGCACGAAGGUUAGCUAAUCCUGGUCGGACAUCAGGAGGUUAGUGCAAUGGCAUAAGCUAGCUUGACUGCGAGCGUGACGGCGCGAGCAGGUGCGAAAGCAGGUCAUAGUGAUCCGGUGGUUCUGAAUGGAAGGGCCAUCGCUCAACGGAUAAAAGGUACUCCGGGGAUAACAGGCUGAUACCGCCCAAGAGUUCAUAUCGACGGCGGUGUUUGGCACCUCGAUGUCGGCUCAUCACAUCCUGGGGCUGAAGUAGGUCCCAAGGGUAUGGCUGUUCGCCAUUUAAAGUGGUACGCGAGCUGGGUUUAGAACGUCGUGAGACAGUUCGGUCCCUAUCUGCCGUGGGCGCUGGAGAAUUGAGGGGGGCUGCUCCUAGUACGAGAGGACCGGAGUGGACGCAUCACUGGUGUUCGGGUUGUCAUGCCAAUGGCACUGCCCGGUAGCUAAAUGCGGAAGAGAUAAGUGCUGAAAGCAUCUAAGCACGAAACUUGCCCCGAGAUGAGUUCUCCCUGAGACUUUAAGUCUCCUGAAGGAACGUU
This 2825-nucleotide ribosomal RNA is filed under the name Klebsiella pneumoniae. RNAcentral describes it as "bacterial LSU rRNA". It matches the Rfam family "Bacterial large subunit ribosomal RNA". Lineage: Bacteria; Pseudomonadati; Pseudomonadota; Gammaproteobacteria; Enterobacterales; Enterobacteriaceae. The record is from RNAcentral.